This is a long non-coding RNA of Mesocricetus auratus (golden hamster), 830 nucleotides long. RefSeq lists it as uncharacterized. The transcript is spliced from 2 exons. The record is from RefSeq and is a predicted model, not a curated record. NCBI's taxonomy places the organism in Eukaryota, Metazoa, Chordata, Mammalia, Rodentia, Cricetidae.
CGCCGCGGCCCAUGAGUCGCCUGCUCGCCUCUGUGUAGCCGCCUCCAGGGACUGUCACGCGAGAGACCCGCGAUCUCCCGGGCUGCGGGAGCUAAUUCUGACAAAUGAAGAGGCAAUAGAUCCUUGGAGAGAUACACCUGCAGAAGGUUCUGGAAUUCCAGUCUAACCCCACCCUCUGGUCUUUAAGGAAACCUCAGGCCCUCCUUUCUGCAUCGUUGGAGAGAGAACCUCCUACAGGCUAAACACAGGCUCUGUGGCGGAGCUGCAUCCCAGUGCAUUUGGACCUUACUUGAUUGAUGUUGGGCUUCAGGAGUAAGACUCUAGGUGGAGAUCCCGGUCUCACAUAUGCAUUCUAAUUUCUGAGCAGCUUGGAUUGAGCCAAGGGGGCACGAGGCCAGCCUGUGACCAUAGAGGAUUGCUUGAGAACUCAAAAGAACGACGGGGUGACCGACGGGGUGACAGAAAGGGAAACAUUUCAACACAAGGACAGUUUCGAGCCACAAGGAAAGAAAGAACAAAGCAUCCAAAUUAAGUUAGGAAAUGUAUUAUCUAUAGAAAAAUCCUUUGAACAAUCAGUCGGCCGUGAGGGCAUUUUGUUUUUUUGGUUUUUUUUCUAGUUCAGGUUGCUGCUCCACUUCUCAGGGUUCCUUUUCACGUGGAAAUCAAGAGACAGGCGGUGAUGGGGUAAAGAUGACUAACGAUCUUUUAGUAAUCUCCCCUCUGUGGGUUGUGGAAGCUGCUUGAAGGUUGCCAAGGGAACCUUGGGUAAAAUUUUGCAGGAGUGUCUCUGAAAACAUUAUUCAUAAUUAAAAAAUGAUUCAUAGAAAUCA